GAUCCACGAGAGGAUCUCCGAUCUGCCCACGAAAGAUGCCGAAUCCAUCAUCCCGAUUUUCGUGGCCAUAUCUGACUUCCGAUUUUUCUGUUUUGAGUAUAGGAUUCCAAAUAUCUGCCUUCGACAGAGGGAGACAAUGGACGCUCUUUGUCUCGGGAAGACUGAACAGAGACGGAGAAACGGGGAGAAUUUAAAAAUGCGAGAAGAGCGGGCUCUUUUUCAAUUCAAAAUGGUCUGGCACGCUGGCUCCUUUGGGAGAUGGGUCAGGGCCUCAAUUGAAGGCUCGCGAGUCCAAUUCUACUACAGCCCAAAAUUUAAAUCGGCAAGUAUGAGUCCAUUCCCAUGCAGAGAUGAG
Molecule: unclassified non-coding RNA, 355 nt
Filed under: Hevea brasiliensis (rubber tree)
Lineage: Eukaryota; Viridiplantae; Streptophyta; Magnoliopsida; Malpighiales; Euphorbiaceae
Source: RNAcentral